This is a non-coding RNA of Cinara cedri, 207 nucleotides long. NCBI's taxonomy places the organism in Eukaryota, Metazoa, Arthropoda, Insecta, Hemiptera, Aphididae. The record is from the annotation of a GenBank genome assembly.
UAAACCAUGUGUAUUUCAUUCUACACACGCUGUUGUUAUUUUGACGCACCAAAGCACAUAAUUUACCAUUUAGCUGUUUAACAAACUCAGUAAAAUUAACUACAGAUAUCUAACUGUGUAGGUUUAGGUUCUUUGUUGAUUAAGUAGGAGUGAGUUAAAUGAGCAUGUCCUAUUUUCACUCGAGUAAUAACUACUUCUUCUCUUCCU